GUCUACAGCCCUACCACCCUGAACGUGCCGGAUCUCAUCUGAUCUCAGAAGCUAAGCAGGGUCAGGCCUGGUUAGUACUUUGGUGGGAGAGAAGCAAUGUAACAGAGGGCU
This is a ribosomal RNA of Bison bison bison, 111 nucleotides long. The record is from Ensembl. NCBI's taxonomy places the organism in Eukaryota, Metazoa, Chordata, Mammalia, Artiodactyla, Bovidae.